Molecule: small RNA, 87 nt
Filed under: Flavobacterium crassostreae
Lineage: Bacteria; Pseudomonadati; Bacteroidota; Flavobacteriia; Flavobacteriales; Flavobacteriaceae
Description: Flavo-1 RNA
Rfam family: Flavo-1 RNA
Source: Rfam by way of RNAcentral
GUGUAGUGCGUGAAGGAUAGCAGCGAAAAUCCUUUUUGGUGGCUUUUGGGGCCUCCAAAAAGAUUGUAGCGAAUAGCCUGACCCGCU